CUCUCGGCAACGGAUAUCUCGGCUCUCGCAUCGAUGAAGAACGUAGCGAAAUGCGAUACUUGGUGUGAAUUGCAGAAUCCCGUGAACCAUCGAGUCUUUGAACGCAAGUUGCGCCCGAGGCCACUCGGCCGAGGGCACGCCUGCCUGGGCGUCACGCCACCCAU
This 164-nucleotide ribosomal RNA is filed under the name Machilus grijsii. Its description in RNAcentral is "5.8S ribosomal RNA". It matches the Rfam family "5.8S ribosomal RNA". From Rfam's summary of the family: 5.8S ribosomal RNA (5.8S rRNA) is a component of the large subunit of the eukaryotic ribosome. Lineage: Eukaryota; Viridiplantae; Streptophyta; Magnoliopsida; Laurales; Lauraceae. RNAcentral also lists the same sequence under 20 other names. The record is from RNAcentral.